AAGUCGUAACAAGGUUUCCGUAGGUGAACCUGCGGAAGGAUCAUUAACACUAAUGAAAUCCAAAACCUUUUGGAUCAACCCAACCUUAGCGAACCGUUCGUUUUUUUUCCCUUUGCCCAUUUUUUUUAUGAAACGCAAACAAAUCUGAUGUAAAGUGUCUGAUUCUUAUUCCCGGUUUUCUUAAUCGAAAGCUGGAAUCAAAAAUCUAACGCAAUACAACUCUUAACAACGGAUAUCUUGGCUCUC
This 246-nucleotide unclassified non-coding RNA is filed under the name fungal sp. Its description in RNAcentral is "partial internal transcribed spacer region". The stretch from base 1 to 46 matches the Rfam family "Eukaryotic small subunit ribosomal RNA", at positions 1786 to 1831 of the family's 1831-position model. The record is from RNAcentral. Lineage: Eukaryota; Fungi.